CAUGCCAAUGUAUGUUAGUCCA
This 22-nucleotide non-coding RNA is filed under the name Arabidopsis thaliana (thale cress). The record is from RNAcentral. Lineage: Eukaryota; Viridiplantae; Streptophyta; Magnoliopsida; Brassicales; Brassicaceae.